GACGAACGCUGGCGGCGUGCUUAACACAUGCAAGUCGAACGGUGAAAGCGGAGCUUGCUCCGCUGGAUCAGUGGCGAACGGGUGAGUACCACGUGGGCAACCUGCCCCUCACUUCGGGAUAACUCCGGGAAACCGGGGCUAAUACCGGAUUUGACCUCCUUGGGCAUCCUUGGAGGUGGAAAGUUUUUCGGUGAGGGAUGGGCCCGCGGCCUAUCAGCUUGUUGGUGAGGUAGUGGCUCACCAAGGCGACGACGGGUAGCCGGCCUGAGAGGGUGCCCGGCCACACGGGGACUGGGACACGGCCCAGACGCCUACGGGAGGCAGCAGUAGGGAAUCUUCCGCAAUGGACGAAAGUCUGACGGAGCAACGCCGCGUGAGUGAUGAAGGCUUUCGGGUCGUAAAACUCUGUUGUUAGGGAAGAACAAGUGCUAGUUGAAUAAGCUGGCACCUUGACGGUACCUAACCAGAAAGCCACGGCUAACUACGUGCCAGCCGCCGCCGUAA
This 504-nucleotide ribosomal RNA is filed under the name uncultured bacterium. RNAcentral describes it as "partial 16S ribosomal RNA". It matches the Rfam family "Bacterial small subunit ribosomal RNA", at positions 28 to 523 of the family's 1533-position model. The record is from RNAcentral.